CGUAGGGCGCAAGCGUUGUCCGGAAUUAUUGGGCGUAAAGAGCUCGUAGGCGGUUUGUCGCGUCUGCUGUGAAAUCGCGAGGCUCAACCUCGCGCCUGCAGUGGGUACGGGCAGACUAGAGUGUGGUAGGGGAGACUGGAAUUCCUGGUGUAGCGGUGGAAUGCGCAGAUAUCAGGAGGAACACCGAUGGCGAAGGCAGGUCUCUGGGCCACUACUGACGCUGAGGAGCGAAAGCAUGGGUAGCGAACAGGAUU
Molecule: ribosomal RNA, 254 nt
Filed under: uncultured bacterium
Lineage: Bacteria
Description: partial 16S ribosomal RNA
Rfam family: Bacterial small subunit ribosomal RNA
Source: RNAcentral